AUAUCAGUCAUGCAUAGCAUAUCAAUAAGCGGAGGAAAAGAAACUAACAAGGAUUCCCUUAGUAACGGCGAGUGAAGCGGGAAGAGCUCAAAUUUGAAAUCUUAAAGGUUUUCCCUUGACGAAUUGUAGUUUAAAGAAGUGUUUUCUGUUGGAGUUUCGGUAAAAGUUCUUUGGAAUAGGACAUCAUAGAGGGUGAGAAUCCCGUAUUUGACCAUUACUUUCCAGCUGUGUGAUACACUUUCAAAGAGUCGGAUUGUCUGGGAAUGCAGUCCAAAAUGGGUGGUAAGUUUCAUCUAAAGCUAAGUAUUGGCGAGAGACCGAUAGCGAACAAGUACCGUGAGGGAAAGAUGAAAAGAACUUUGAAAAGAGAGUUAAACAGUACGUGAAAUUGUCAAAAGGGAAGCGUUUGACACCAGUGUUGUUUUUCCGAAAAUCAAUUACGAAUGUUUUGUUUUUAAGAAGUUAUGACUUCAUCGGCUUGCUUCUUUCUUUACGAAACUUUCUUAAUGCACUUUUCGGUUAAUAAGUCAACAUCAAUUUCUUUUGUUGUAAAAGGGUAUGAGGAAGGUGGCUUUCUUUUCGGAGAAAGUGUUUAUAGCCUUGUGCCUCUGCAAUCGGAGAGAUUGAGGUCUGCAGCGUAGAUCCUUCGGGGUUAGAUACGUUUGUGCUAAGUUAUAGCUUUUCAUAGACAACUUGUUGACUAUGUUUAGUCUUGUAGCUUACUCGCUGACGCUAUUUUACCUACGCUUAGGAUGUUGAUCUCUCACAGUCGAGC
RNAcentral lists this ribosomal RNA (775 nucleotides) under uncultured Neocallimastigales. RNAcentral's name for it is "partial large subunit ribosomal RNA". It matches the Rfam family "Eukaryotic large subunit ribosomal RNA", at positions 22 to 645 of the family's 3401-position model. Lineage: Eukaryota; Fungi; Neocallimastigomycota; Neocallimastigomycetes; Neocallimastigales. The record is from RNAcentral.